GGAUUUCCGUGGAUUUCAGUUACCCGGGAGUCUCGGUUAUCCCAUCAGCAGCUCUCACCCCGACCUCAGGGUCCCAGGGACACGAGACUUACUUGUAUUUUUUAUUGUUUAUCUCCCUUGGACGAAGUCCCCUAAAAUGCACAACCCAAGAACGAUACCCACACUUUCUGUUUUUCCCCCUUUCCCCCCACUCCCGGCUGCUUAACUUCCCCCCCACCCUGGGGGCCCCCAGCCCAGGGCCCGUGUCCAAAGUCGGCCGACGCCCCCAUCCCGGACCCCUGCUCCGGGCCCCUGUCUGGAGAUGCCAGAGGAAGGGGACGUUCCCCCAAUCCCCUCCUCCCCCAUUGACCACCCCCAAGCCCUCUCUGCACAUCUGCUCUGGCCCUUGGCUGGGCCCCCUGGGGACACUGCUUCAUGGGGCCUGGGGAAGCAGGACAGACACCUCCACUUAGCCUCACCCCUCCUCACAAACCAACUUUCUUCUCCCCCGAUGGCCGCCACAGUCUCAAGGGGGAUGACAUGACUGAGGCCCUGUAGAUCACUUGGGCCCCCACCUCCUCCCCGAUACCUGCUGGACCUCACAAAGGCUGCAGAAUGGGAACAAGGGGGCACAGCUCCCAGAAUUCCAGGGCCUCUCUUUCUCCUACCAAGGGGUGGUACUUGUGCCCUGGCGCCUCCAAUGCCCAGCCUUCUCCUCCCCACCUCUCCCCAUUAGGGGGAUACUUCUUCUAUCUCUUGAACUGUGCAGACCUCCAGGAGGGGGACAAGGGACUCCGAUCCCCCCAUUCCUAGCCUCUCCUCCACAAUGGGUGUCUCCCAGCAGCUCUCCCCCCUCACUCCUCUGCCCCUACUAGAGCUAGGACAUUCCUGUACUUGGGCCAUCAGGCCCUAAAGCUCACUGCCUCCCCAAGUCCCCUUCUGGGGCUGCCCAUCUCCUGCUCAGCCACAGAGACCCUUCCCCAAGAGAAAAGACCUCCCCUCCCCCAAAUAAUGUUUACAGUCUCUGGUGAUCCCUUUCCUGUAAAUAUCACAUUGGUGCGGUAGCCAGCCAGGCCCGGACGCUGCCAUCUUUCUUUCUGGGAGUUUAGACAAUGUUCCCCAUGGAUUUUUUUCUUUCUUAAUUUUUUCUCUUUGGUUUGAAGGUCAGGGGUGGGAAGGGGUGCGGGUGGGGAAAAGGGGGAGGGCUGGAGGGGUUUAUUACCUGGUCAUUUUCUUUAGGAAAAGGUUUUAGGGGAAGGGGUGCGGGUGGAUUGGGGAGGGGAUGGGAAGGGGAGCCUGGGGAGUCUAAAUUUCAAACAGUUCUCAAUGCUUAACUUAUUUAUUUAUUGCGUUUUACUUUUAAUAAGUUGAUUUUUUCUGUCUAAAUAAAGAAAAAAACUUUAAAAGUGUCCA
Molecule: long non-coding RNA, 1392 nt
Filed under: Phascolarctos cinereus (koala)
Lineage: Eukaryota; Metazoa; Chordata; Mammalia; Diprotodontia; Phascolarctidae
Description: lncRNA (ENSPCIG00000036064.1)
Source: RNAcentral